Molecule: ribosomal RNA, 497 nt
Filed under: uncultured bacterium
Lineage: Bacteria
Description: partial 16S ribosomal RNA
Rfam family: Bacterial small subunit ribosomal RNA
Source: RNAcentral
GAUGAACGCUGGCGGCGUGCCUAAUACAUGCAAGUCGAGCGAACGGACGAGAAGCUUGCUUCUCUGAUGUUAGCGGCGGACGGGUGAGUAACACGUGGAUAACCUACCUAUAUGACUGGGAUAACUUCGGGAAACCGGAGCUAAUACCGGAUAAUAUUUUGAACCGCAUGGUUCAAAAGUGAAAGACGGUCUUGCUGUCACUUAUAGAUGGAUCCGCGCUGCAUUAGCUAGUUGGUAAGGUAACGGCUUACCAAGGCAACGAUGCAUAGCCGACCUGAGAGGAUGAUCGGCCACACUGGAACUGAGACACGGUCCAGACUCCUACGGGAGGCAGCAGUAGGGAAUCUUCCGCAAUGGGCGAAAGCCUGACGGAGCAACGCCGCGUGAGUGAUGAAGGUCUUCGGAUCGUAAAACUCUGUUAUUAGGGAAGAACAUAUGUGGAAGUAACUGUGCACAUCUUGACGGUACCUAAUCAGAAAGCCACGGCUAACUACGUG